This is a long non-coding RNA of Oreochromis niloticus (Nile tilapia), 873 nucleotides long. RefSeq lists it as uncharacterized. The record is from RefSeq and is a predicted model, not a curated record. NCBI's taxonomy places the organism in Eukaryota, Metazoa, Chordata, Actinopteri, Cichliformes, Cichlidae. The transcript is spliced from 3 exons.
UUAUUGAACUACUUUUCCCUAUCUGUAACAUCAAUGCACAUUGUUCCAUUUACUGCAUAUUGCACUUUAUUCAUUUCUCUCAUUCCACCUGCAAAAACAUUGUAAAGGUCGUCACAAAGAGGUUUAUAUAUGUAUAAAUACUAAUAUUCUCUAUUCCAUUCUGUUCUGCUUUUUUAUUGCCCAGAUUUUAGUUAGCCUUUGUUAAAUUGUCUGUUAUAUGUCAAUAGAUACGUAUGUCACAAAUAAAAGUGUUUUGUAAAUUAUGUUUUUGUUAAGAAUUUUCUCCACAAAUCUCUUACAUGCUAACUGUAACGUGUUAUUUCUGCUAAAACCUGAACUUAAAUGUGUAUAUGGUGUUUAUCUGUUUUUCUCUCUGUUUUAGAUGCUCAUAUCAAUUUGGAGUUUUGCCUCCAAGCCAGAAUUGCAGGAAUGCACAACAUGUUGCAGAAGACUCUUUCACUGCCCUCUGUGCCCCACUUUCAGCCCUACUGUCAAGGCAAAGAUUGAGGAGUAUAUAAAUGGACACAUUAAAAAUGCUUUGCCUUUCAAAGACAAAAUGAUAUACCGGUGCACUUUCACUGCCCUGUCUGUAACAUGACAGUAAUACAGCGUGGGGAUAUGGCAAGGCAAUUUUUCUCAUGUCAGCAUUCAGGACUGCUCCCCGCUGCACUCUCCGUGGAGCCACAUCUCCCUCUCGAUGUCUUGUCUCCAGUAUCUAAACCAUUUUCUGAAUCUUCAGUAGAACAUUCAUGUGCUCUACCCUCUGUGCUAAAUGAAACUGUGGCUUGUGGAAAGUCCUUGAAAAUGAAACGCCCUCACUGUGGUCUUAGUCUUCCUAAAAAAAACUUCAAGGCUCACAUGAUGAGGAGGCAU